This is a microRNA precursor of Oryza sativa Japonica Group (Japanese rice), 207 nucleotides long. It matches the Rfam family "MIR812 microRNA precursor family". Lineage: Eukaryota; Viridiplantae; Streptophyta; Magnoliopsida; Poales; Poaceae. The record is from Rfam.
AAAGACUCAAUUCCUGGGUUUCCGUGUCCAACGUUUGACCGUCCGUCCUAUUUAAAAAAAAUAUGAAAAAAAUUAAAAAGAUAAGUCACACAUAAAGUAUUAUUUAUGUUUUAUCAUCUAACAAUAAUGAAAAUAUUAAUUAUAAAGAAAAUUCAUAUAAGACGGAUAGUCAAACGUUGGACACGGAAACCCAUGAAUUGAGUCUUU